GCGGGGCCGACUGAGGCAGAAAGAUAAACAUUCAGAUAGGCUAUAGAAGGAACACAAUAGAGCAAUAAAUGUAUAGAUAGGUAAAGUCGUUGAUAAAUGGAAGAGAGAAAGACCAGUGAGACGGUAAUAGCGACUAAAGGGUUCUCUUUAAGGACAGGAUCGUGCAGUACUGUGUUACAGAGAUACAGAUUUAAAGCAAUGAGCUAAGCAUGGUGACUACAUGGACACUGCAUACUCAGAUUCAUUCAUUUCAACUUCAAGUCACUGUGUGAAAAAUAAAUGUACAAUAUCAAAAAGUGAGGCGAAAAUGACAAAAUAGAAAAACACUAAGAUUUGUGAAUUCAUUUUGCAUUCUUCAUUCGACCUUUAAUAUUGAAUUUAAGCAUUAUUUUUUGUAGAUAUAGAUUUGUAUUUUCUGAAUUCUUUCUAUAAUUUGAAUGAAUGUCGACCUUUAUCAAUGGAUCAGAGUUAUGAGAGUGCAGCUUUCAAUUCUCUUUUUUUCUUUGGCGUCUGCCUGCGAGCCAGAACCUCCCUAGAAUAAAUGUGCAUUUUCCCUCAAUGUUUUAUUGACAGUAACAUGGCUCCCCCAAAACUUGAUUAUGUCUCUCAGUUUCUUGAUUUUUUUCUCUGUAGUCAACAUGUCUUUCUUUCUGUCUUCCCUUUCAGAUAUGCAAAUGUGUGGAAAAAGUGUCAGGCAGUGGAGAGUUCACAAGAGGUAUAAAGUUAAUGUUGCUGUACUGUGACCUAGCCAAAGCAACACAGAUUUUUACCAUUCAAGAUUUAGGUCAAGAGUAGGCAGCCAGGUGCCAUGAGAGUAUGCAGACUUUCAUUCCAGCCAAAGGCAAAAGUCAGGGUAUUACACUGAUGAACACUAGCUGAGAGGAGGAACUACUGUUUGUCAGGAAAAACCUCUUGGUGUAAACUUGUUUAGUUUGGAAUGAAAACAAGCAUUUGAUUUCCUGUUCCUGACCUGAACCAAGAGAAGAAGAAAAAAAGGGUGAUGGAGAAAGGGAUAUAUAAUUUUUCAAUAUUGUGUUUGUGAUGUAAGAUUUAUUCUAUAAUUGAAGGCAUGGUUGAAAAAACACAAGACAUUUAUACUGCUUUUUUCAAAUAUAUUUAGUUUUAAUUAUAAUGUUGGUGAAACUACACAUAGUAUCAACUUUGUAUUCAUUUUAUACAUUUUAGUUUAAAAAGCAAAGGCACAUAUGAAGAAACUGCAGCUCUUGUAUUUAGUGUUUUUUACUAAACAUGGUAUCAACAACAGACAAUGAACAGGAACGACACAGUGUCAUUUUGGCUUUGAAUCAUCAAAAAAUGAAAGCAACACAUACAAAAACACUUUAGCAAAUACUGCAGCAGACUUUAUUACAAAUUUUGUUUUAUUACAAACAAGUUAUGCAUU
Siniperca chuatsi (mandarin fish) is the source of this 1402-nucleotide long non-coding RNA. RefSeq lists it as uncharacterized. The record is from RefSeq and is a predicted model, not a curated record. The transcript has 2 exons. NCBI's taxonomy places the organism in Eukaryota, Metazoa, Chordata, Actinopteri, Centrarchiformes, Sinipercidae.